GCCUGGGUGGCUCAGUCGGUUAAGUGUCUGACUUUAGCUCAGGACAAAAUCUCAUUGUUUGUGGGUUCAAGCCCUGCAUUGGGCU
Molecule: transfer RNA, 85 nt
Filed under: Felis catus (domestic cat)
Lineage: Eukaryota; Metazoa; Chordata; Mammalia; Carnivora; Felidae
Also listed under: 4 other names
Rfam family: tRNA
About the family: Transfer RNA (tRNA) molecules are approximately 80 nucleotides in length. Their secondary structure includes four short double-helical elements and three loops (D, anti-codon, and T loops).
Source: Rfam by way of RNAcentral